ACCUCAGCUAGCUCAAUUGGUAGAGCAAAAGACUCUCAGUCUCAGGGUCGUGGGUUCAAACCCCAUGUUGGGCA
Podarcis lilfordi (Lilford's wall lizard) is the source of this 74-nucleotide non-coding RNA. Lineage: Eukaryota; Metazoa; Chordata; Lepidosauria; Squamata; Lacertidae. The record is from the annotation of a GenBank genome assembly.